RNAcentral lists this ribosomal RNA (376 nucleotides) under uncultured bacterium. RNAcentral describes it as "bacterial SSU rRNA". It matches the Rfam family "Bacterial small subunit ribosomal RNA", at positions 521 to 896 of the family's 1533-position model. The record is from RNAcentral.
UAAUACGGGGGGUGCGAGCGUUGUCCGGAUUCACUGGGCGUAAAGGGCGCGUAGGCGGCUGAAUCAGUCUGAUCUUUAAGGUGUGGGCUUACCCUGCACAUGGAUUGGGGACGGUUGAGCUGGGGGCCAGUCGAGGAAAGCGGAAUGCCGGGUGUAGUGGUGAAAUGCGUAGAGAUCCGGCGGAACACCGGUGGUGAAGGCGGCUUUCUGGGCUGGAACCGACGCUGAGGCGCGAGAGCGCGGGGAGCGAACCGGAUUAGAUACCCGGGUAGUCCGCGCCGUAAACGGUGGGCACUGGGUGUGGGGGGUAUCGACCCCCUCCGCGCCGGCGCGAACGCAGUAAGUGCCCCGCCUGGGGAGUACGGCCGCAAGGCUA